RNAcentral lists this long non-coding RNA (1157 nucleotides) under Monodelphis domestica (gray short-tailed opossum). RNAcentral's name for it is "lncRNA (ENSMODG00000050902.1)". The record is from RNAcentral. Lineage: Eukaryota; Metazoa; Chordata; Mammalia; Didelphimorphia; Didelphidae.
UUUAAAUCUGUGAAUCAAUCCACAAAUAGAAAAUUAAUAGUGUAUUGCACUAAAGGGUUUUUUCCCUGCUCUAGGACCCUUAGUGAUCCUUAUGAUGCUUGUCAAAGGGACAUCAACAUAUGUAUGAUUUAGGGACUAUAUCCUUCCCUAUGGUAUCUUUCCUCCUUCCUUUCUCUUUCUUUUCUUUCUCUCUCUUUCUUCCUUUCUCUCUCUUCCUUACUCUUUAUCUCUUUCUGUUUUUCUCUCAUUCUUUUUCUCUUUUUCUUUCUUUCUUUCUCUCUUUUUCUUUCUUUCUAUCUCUUUCUAUCUCUUUCUUUCUUUCUUUCUUUCUUUCUUUCUUUCUUUCUUUCUUUCUUUCUUUCUUUCUUUCUUUCUUUCCUUCCUUCCUUCCUUUCUCUCUUCCUUCCUUUCUCUUUCUUUUCUUUCUCUCUUUCUUCCUUUCUCUCUCUUCCUUUCUCUGUCUUUCUUUUUCUUUCUUUCUUUCUUUCUUUCUUUCUUUCUUUCUUUCUUUCUUUCUUUCUUUCUUUCUUUCUUUCUUUCUUUCUUUCUUUCUUUCUUUCUUUCUUUCUUUCUUUCUUUCUUUCUCUCUUUCUCUCUUUCUCUCUUUCUCUCUUUCUUUCUUUCUUUCUUUCUCUUUUUCUUUCUUUCUUUCUUUCUUUCUCUUUUUCUUUCUUUCUUUCUUUCUCUUUUUCUUCCUUCUUCAUUAAUUUUGGUAUACAACAUAUCCAUUCCCCAAUUUUAUUCAUGCCAUUCCCAAAGCUUUGCCCUCUGGCCAUUUGAGUGGUCUGGUUGGUGCAGCUAGUGAUGGUUUUCCCUGAUCUUGUGGAGAGAGGGGGGCAUUAUUGCAGGUUCCAGCUAAGGGAGCCCUAAGGACCAGAGCAGACAAUCAGUCGCUUCCUUCAGGGGCAUUGAGGCUCCAGUGAUAAUUGGCUACUGUCCAUUGAGCCUAUCCCAUUCCCCAGAGAGGGUGGCUUGAGCACUGUAAACACAUACACAUAAGACAUCUGUGCUUCUCACCAAAGAGGCCUAGGGGCAGGAGAAGGCCCAAAUCAAGCCACUCACUCACUCAAGCCAGUGAGCAUUUGGCAGAUGCCAAGUCACACUGCCUAUUGGUUCUGGGACUUUCCCCCACUCCGAGAUGUGAGAGCAGAGCAGGC